Molecule: long non-coding RNA, 642 nt
Organism: Prinia subflava (tawny-flanked prinia)
Lineage: Eukaryota; Metazoa; Chordata; Aves; Passeriformes; Cisticolidae
Exons: 2
Source: RefSeq, a predicted model, not a curated record
CCCUGUGUAACUCCAGCUGUACUGGAGCUGUAAAUCCAAAAUCAUUACAAAACAAGCUUUGGGACACCCAGUGACUCCUUGCAGGCAGGGAUCAGUGUUUCUGGGACCUUAAAGGAAAUUUUCCUGAGAUUUAAUGUUUUCUCUUGAAACAAAAAAUGACAUAAGUGUUAUCUCCAGAUUUUUUCCAGAGCAGUGAAGUAAUUAAACUUCACUUAUUUUUCUAAGAUCAAGACUAAAACCUGAACUAAUCUAGUUUAACCUUCCCUUGUCCUUUAUCAGCUGGAAUGUGCAAUUAACUCCUGAGAACCUUUGAGUCAAUGUGUAUAUGAAGCAGAACAGCAUCUUCUGUUGGUGUCUGCCAUUGAUUUUUAACUGGGGUCAUGUUCCUCCCUGCCAGUAGAAAGGGGAACGAUGCACAGGGAACUCCUUGAGAUGCUUCAGGAAAAGGCAUCACCAGGAGUGAAGGAGCCUUAUUCUUGCAAGAGGAAGAAGAAAUGAAAUGUGCCUAUGACUAAUAAUACACUUUGCUUUCUUUCUGCUGAUUCUGAGCUAAUGCUUCCUAUGUUUAAACUGAUUUCCAAAUAUUUUGUGCAAGUUUUGGAAAUAAAUAAAACCUAAAUUUCUAGGUAUGAACUCUUAAAA